AUGGCUAUUCUACAUAGGGCCCUUUUUACUUGGUUUAUAUUUUUGAUUUUUCUUAUUUUGCUAUGUCUGAGAUUAGAGUCUAGAACACAUUGGAAUUGGUUCAUCGUUUUUAUUCCAAUGUGGGUGUACGAUAGUAUUUUAUUGAUCUACGUACUUUUUCAUAUGGUAUCACACUGCAGAAAUGGCAUUGAAAGAUUUAGAGGAACCAUCAAUAAAAAUGUGUGGUACAUAGCUGCAAUUGGACUAAAAAUGGCUGCACAAAUAAUAAUUUGUAUAAAAUUGGAAUAUAAUAGAGUUUAUUUACCUAUUUAUGUGGUAAUGACUCCUAUAUGGAUGCUACUGCCAGUUCUCUGUAUUGAAGUGUUCAUGCAUUUGAUCAAACACUCCAGUGGAAGUAGUAGGUAUUAAAAUGAUUCGAAGCAUACUUAAUAGGAAGCAAUAAAUACUGUGCAUUGAGGGGAAGGACAUGUGACUUCAUGACUGUGUAAAGAUAAUUAUAAACUUGGCACGCAUUCAGUAAUACCGAUGUUUGCUCUUCUCAAAUGUUUUGUGGCAGCAUCAGAAGUUUUGGUGAUAUAAUAAUCUUACUCAAGUGUUGAAAAACUCUAUUACGUAUGUUGGAAGAAGACUCAUUCGUCUAGAAAAUAAAUAAAACUAGAAACAAUGAAGAUGACAAUAGCUGAAGGUAAUAAUGCUGCAUUGAACUGUGCUAGUAAUGACUUAAAUCAUAUUUUCUUAUUCUGGCUCUUUAACAAAACUACAAUCAUAAGUUCAGGAAUUGAUUACAAUGAUAAAAAGUAUAAAUAUGAAGUUUUAUCAGGGAAACUUAAUAUUAAUAAAGUUACUCAAGCAGAUUCUGGAACCUAUAUGUGCAUAUCAAAGAGUCUUGAUGGUUUACAAUAUGCAGUCAGUGAAGUGGAAAUACUAGUCUCUAGUGCAUUUACCCCUAUUGAUGCUGUAAAACUAGCAGCUAUUAUAAUUUCAAUAGUAGUUAUUAUGGGAUCUGCCAUACUUUACUAUCAACUGAAGAAAGAUUGGAAGAAAUAUGAGGGUAGAGCAGUAGUUGCAGUUGAUGAACCAGAUGAGGAAAUAGAUGGUGAUGAAAUAUAUAAUCAAACUACCACUAGCAUCCAUGAACCUGUUGCGGGACCAAGCAGAAAUCAAUCAUCUGAACUUCUCUAUGGAAUAGAUAACCAAGGAUUAGAUACAGAUUUCAAUUCAGUAUUUGAAAAUAUUCAAAUUAAAUCACCACAUCGUAGUUUGAUUUAGUUAAAAACAGUACAUAAGUCAAGAUGUGUCAUAGACUUAGAUUUUAAUACUGUAAUAAUUUAUUUUUCCAAAUACAUAGUUCCAAAAUAAUAUGCUUUUAAACAAAUGUGUAUAAUCUAUUGCCAAUUACAUAUUAUUAAUUUUCAAUAAGUACUAGUGUAGAUAAAGAAAUGAUACUAGAUAAUAAGGAUGAGUAGAAUAUUUAAUUUCUUAAAUAAAUAUUAAAAAAUAUUGUCUUCA
Bombyx mori (domestic silkworm) is the source of this 1509-nucleotide RNA transcript. RefSeq lists it as uncharacterized. The record is from RefSeq and is a predicted model, not a curated record. Lineage: Eukaryota; Metazoa; Arthropoda; Insecta; Lepidoptera; Bombycidae. The transcript is spliced from 3 exons.